GCAAACUGUACACAUACAGAUUAUGAACUUCUGCUGUUAGAUGUGUAAAAGAGUAAUUCUCUUUUAUUCUUGCAUUUUUUAUGUUCAUGUUCCUGCACUUGGGUGUUCAGCAUGAAUGUGCAUCCUCAGGAUUUUUGUUGAAGCCUUGUACUCAGCUUUCAUGUUCUAAGGAGAAUCUUCUGCACCUUGGCCACCUUUCCUUUGUUGAAAUUGAAGCUUCUGCACUUUGGCCACCUUUUACCAUGUAGAAAUUGAAGCUUCCACACCUUGGCCACCUUUUCCAUGUAGAAAUUGAAGUGGCAAGGUUCCAUAUCCUUGAGUUGUCUACACCUGGGGAGGCUUUGUUGACUGGUGGUACUUGAUUUUAGAGAGACCAAAUGCGGAAAUUAUUCUUAGCAUGACAACUUGUUUUUAUGCGAUCGUUAGGCCAUUAUAGGAAGCUAUUAAUCCCAAUAGCUGGGCAUGGGUUGUUGCUAUAAAAUAAUUAGAUGGAGAUGGGCUCCAAGGAAACAUGGAAAUUGUGUUAGUUCUCAUUGGAAGACCAUUUUCACAGUAAGAUGGCAAUGCUGACACGCUUCAAUUUUGGCUAUUUACUACAUAUUUAGUUCAGUUUGCUAUUUAGGCCAACCAAGCAUCCAAACACACCCAAAAUGAUAUUUAGUCAAGUUUCUUAUUCAUGGCAAUCUUUUUAAUAUAGUGGUUUUUCUAUA
This is a long non-coding RNA of Magnolia sinica, 710 nucleotides long. RefSeq lists it as uncharacterized. The transcript has 3 exons. NCBI's taxonomy places the organism in Eukaryota, Viridiplantae, Streptophyta, Magnoliopsida, Magnoliales, Magnoliaceae. The record is from RefSeq and is a predicted model, not a curated record.